Molecule: non-coding RNA, 170 nt
Organism: Brachypodium distachyon (stiff brome)
Lineage: Eukaryota; Viridiplantae; Streptophyta; Magnoliopsida; Poales; Poaceae
Source: Rfam
CAUCUAUUCUCUCCAUCCGAAAAUAAGUGACUCGGAUAUUUCUAGAUUCAUAUGUAACUAUAUACUAGGAUUUGUCUAGAUUCGCAUGUAUCUAUAUACUGAAACGCGUCUAGAUACAUACGAAUCUAGACAAAUCCGAGUCACUUAUUUCCGGACGUAGAGAUUAUAUG